GACGAACGCUGGCGGCGUGCUUAACACAUGCAAGUCGAACGGAAAGGCCCUGCUUUUGUGGGGUGCUCGAGUGGCGAACGGGUGAGUAACACGUGAGUAACCUGCCCUUGACUUUGGGAUACCUUCCGGAAACUGGGGCUAAUACCGGAUAGGAGCCCCUGCUGCAUGGUGGGGGUUGGCAAGUUUCGGCGGUUGGGGAUGGACUCGCGGCUUAUCAGCUUGUUGGUGUGGUAGUGGCUUACCAAGGCUUUGACGGGUAGCCGGCCUGAGAGGGGGACCGGCCACAUUGGGACUGAGGUACGGCACAGACUCCAACGGGAGGUAGAAGUGGCGAAUACUCCACAAUGGGCGGAAGCCUGAUGCAGCAACGCCGCGUGCGGGAUGACGGCCUUCGGGUUGUAAACCGCUUUCGCCUGUGACGAAGCGUGAGUGACGGUAAUGGGUAAAGAAGCACCGGCUAACUACGUG
Molecule: ribosomal RNA, 468 nt
Filed under: uncultured bacterium
Lineage: Bacteria
Description: partial 16S ribosomal RNA
Rfam family: Bacterial small subunit ribosomal RNA
Source: RNAcentral